Molecule: long non-coding RNA, 124 nt
Organism: Etheostoma spectabile (orangethroat darter)
Lineage: Eukaryota; Metazoa; Chordata; Actinopteri; Perciformes; Percidae
Exons: 3
Source: RefSeq, a predicted model, not a curated record
UUGGUGCAGUUCGGCUACAAGAUCAUAGUUAAUGAGCAUCAUUACUGAUUGCCAGAGUGACCUGCUGAGCCAAGUCAAAUUGUGCUCUUGCGAGAACUCUGGAUUUCCAGGACCAGGUCACUGC